AUCUCAUGCACCUUCGGCUAAUCCUCCUAAAGGGUCCUCUCCGACGCCGGCAACUUCACCUUCCACGUCUUCGCCUUAUCCUCCAAAAGGAUACUCUCCAGUGCCGGCGACUUCACCUUCCACGUCACCAUCAUCUCAUGCGCCUUCGCCUUAUCCUCCAAAAGGGUACUCUCCGGUGCCGGCAACUUCACCUUCUACGUCACCAUCAUCAUCCCAAUCACCUGCGGCUAAUGCUCCAACUGGGCUGUCACCGGCUCCGGGAACUUCCCCCUCCACGUCACCGUCAUCGCAACCACCUGCGGCUAAUGCUCCAACUGGGCUGUCACCGGCUCCGGGAACUUCCCCCUCCACGUCACCGUCAUCGCAGCCACCUGCGGCUAAUGCUCCAACAGGAGUAUCUCCCCCGCCGGGAACCUCCCCUUCCACGUCACCGCCGGCGGUUCCAUCGUCACCUGGUAAUGCGCCAUCAUUGGCGCCGUCGAACUCAAGUAAUCCGGCUGGUGGGACGCCACCGCCGUCG
RNAcentral lists this long non-coding RNA (520 nucleotides) under Citrus x clementina. Its description in RNAcentral is "Citrus clementina (C. clementina) long non-coding RNA (CCLE_LNC006690)". The record is from RNAcentral. Lineage: Eukaryota; Viridiplantae; Streptophyta; Magnoliopsida; Sapindales; Rutaceae.